This 29-nucleotide non-coding RNA is filed under the name Rattus norvegicus (Norway rat). The record is from RNAcentral. Lineage: Eukaryota; Metazoa; Chordata; Mammalia; Rodentia; Muridae.
UUGCAACUCAACCAGUAGGUUGGAGGUGU